GCCCCAGUAACGGCGAGUGAAGCGGCAACAGCUCAAAUUUGAAAUCUGGCUCUCGGGCCCGAGUUGUAAUUUGUAGAGGAUGCUUUUGGUGAGGUGCCUUCCGAGUUCCCUGGAACGGGACGCCAUAGAGGGUGAGAGCCCCGUCUGGUUGGACACCGAUCCUCUGUAAAGCUCCUUCGACGAGUCGAGUAGUUUGGGAAUGCUGCUCUAAAUGGGAGGUAUAUGUCUUCUAAAGCUAAAUACCGGCCAGAGACCGAUAGCGCACAAGUAGAGUGAUCGAAAGAUGAAAAGAACUUUGAAAAGAGAGUUAAAAAGUACGUGAAAUUGUUGAAAGGGAAGCGCUUGUGACCAGACUUGGGCUUGGUUGAUCAUCCGGGGUUCUCCCCGGUGCACUCUUCCGGCUCAGGCCAGCAUCAGUUCGCCCUGGGGGAUAAAGGCUUCGGGAAUGUGGCUCUCUCCGGGGAGUGUUAUAGCCCGCUGCGUAAUACCCUGUGGCGGACUGAGGUUCGCGCAUUCGCAAGGAUGCUGGCGUAAUGGUCAUCAGUGACCCGUCUUGAAACACGGACCAAGGAGUCGUCUUCGUAUGCGAGUGUUCGGGUGUCAAACCCCUACGCGAAAUGAAAGUGAACGCAGGUGAGAGCUUCGGCGCAUCAUCGACCGAUCCUGAUGUUAUCGGAUGGAUUUGAGUAAGAGCAUACGGGGCCGGACCCGAAAGAAGGUGAACUAUGCCUGUGUAGGGUGAAGCCAGAGGAAACUCUGGUGGAGGCUCGCAGCGGUUCUGACGUGCAAAUCGAUCGUCAAACAUGGGCAUGGGGGCGAAAGACUAAUCGAACCUUCUAGUAGCUGGUUUCCGCCGAAGUUUCCCUCAGGAUAGCAGUGUUGAACUCAGUUUUAUGAGGUAAAGCGAAUGAUUAGGGACUCGGGGGCGCUAUUUAGCCUUCAUCCAUUCUCAAACUUUAAAUAUGUAAGAAGCCCUUGUUGCUUAA
Molecule: ribosomal RNA, 986 nt
Filed under: Fusarium falciforme
Lineage: Eukaryota; Fungi; Ascomycota; Sordariomycetes; Hypocreales; Nectriaceae
Description: partial large subunit ribosomal RNA
Rfam family: Eukaryotic large subunit ribosomal RNA
Source: RNAcentral